ACACUACAACAGGAGAGGGAGCAAGCGCGAGAGGAUAUUAGAAGAGAGGCUUGUCUCCAAGAUAUGGAAGGAAGUGAGAAAUGACAGGGCUGCAAGCUUUGUAUGUAGGAGCCCGGCAGGGCGGGGGAGCGGCGAGGAGAGCCAAGUGGAUUCUCAGAAAAGGGGGGAAGCCAUCGAAGAGCUAAAGGUGAUUAGAGGGGGAUAUUGAUUUCUUAUUCUGCCAGAGAUUUAAGCAGGCAUGCGAGGAAUCUGCACCAUGGUUGGCAAAAAGAGACCCGUUGCCUCCUGUAACCAGACACUCAGGCUUUCCAGGAGCCCAGGGAGCAAGCCGAGAAGAAAGGGGGCAGUGUGGUCUAGGAAAAUUCAACUUGUCGCUGAUUUGUGCCUGAUGCCUGCUGUCCGUCAGCAGCCUCCCUUACAAUCUUUUUUUCUCUCUCUCCUUUUUUUUUCCUUGCCUUCUCCUUCUUCACUGAAGCCUAGGGGAGCCAGUAAAGAUUAAAUGUGCUUCUCAAAGGCAGCCACUUCAUGCUGCUAUGUCGAAAGGGCCAUUAUUAUUAUUAUAUUUUAAUGGUAAAAGAGAAAAGGAGAGAGGUUGAGCGAGCGAGAGAGAAGCUAGGUGUGAUGAUGACAGACUAGCUUUUCUGAGAGGAAAAGGAAAAGGGAAGGGAGAGAAAAAGGAGAGCCUCUGAGCUCAACGGAGGAUUGUGCCUGAGAAGAACCCACAGAGCUGGUCCUAUAGUACCCCUCCUCAGGAAUGUCUCCCCAGUGCAAGGACAAAGACUGAAGAGACUGCUAUAUUGAUGGACUCUCAAGCCAACUAUGAAGUUGAAACAAAGAAAGUGAUCACCUGAAGACACCUCCUCUGCUAAGAAACACCCCCAAAUUGUGCAGCUUCUGCCACUAGAACUCUCAGAACAAGAGACAAUCUUUUCAAGAAACAGAAAAACUCAAUAAUGACAUCUAGAUUUUCAUGAGCCAAGAACUUUCCCUUCCUCAUGUGUAUUCCUCUGUUUGUACUUAAAUUCAUGUGACAUUCAUUUUUUUCCUAGUAUGGAUAUGCUUAUUAAUGCACUUGUUUCAAAAUCCCAAAUUGCACAAAUGUGUUAAUAUUUUAAGAAACAAAAUGAAUCCUACAAGGAGAAUGAUUUUUAGCCACACAUAGGGUUGGAUCUUGAGAGUGACCUACAGAAUAAAAGUACUUUUAAAAUAAAGUAGUCAGAGGCUAUUCAAAGGGUAAAAUAAUCAUAGUACCACAUUGGUCCACUUGACACUAACCAAUCGAUCAUUUUUUUUUAAUCAAGAAAGCUAGAUUCUAUCAGAUAAAAUCACUGCUUCUAAAGAGUUUAAAUCUAGUUAGAAAAAGUUAUAGAAAUGUUUGCAAAGAUAAGUAACAGAUAGAGUCAGUAGAGGAUAAGAUCAAAAACAAAACCAAGCAAAAGAUGAGUUCAGGGGAGUUUGCCAUCAAGUUGGCAAAACUGACUUACUUAGGGAAGAAAGUUAUAAAACAGGAAAAUAUGAGAUGAACCUUGAGUGAUGUGGAAGAUUUAGAUAAAUGGAAAGGAAGGAGAAAAUGGAGUUCUUUAGGUGGUUGUAAUUGGAGGAGGAAAUGAAUACACACAUCUUGUUGACUUAAACCCAGACAUUCAGCAGCUCUCUAUACAUAUCUGGAAAAGACUGCACAGUCACCUCCUGUCUCUCACCCCAGGUAUUACUUAGAAUUAUUAUCAUAUUUCCCUUCCUUUAAAGUAAGUAAGGGUGAUUGGUGACAAUAUGGAGAACUAUGAUUUUUCCAUUAACCUAAUAAUAAUUGGUAUUUAUUGAGUUCUGUUAAGCAUUUUACAUAUUAACUCACUUAAGCCUUUCAACAGCCUUGCAAAAUAGGUAUUAUUAUCCCCAUUUUACAGGCAAGAAAACUGAGGUUUAAGUAACUUGCCGAAGUGCCAUAUACAGGGCUCACAUUCAGUAUUGCAGUUGCAAAGCUCAUGAUCUAUAGUGCCAAGUUGCAAUAUUGUAGUCAAUGUCACAAUUAUUACCCCUUUUUAUAUUCCUUGAUAUUUUUCCAUGGCAAACAAUUAGCUAUUUCAUUUAAUAAUCACCUAAAACUUUUCAGUCUUCUGAUUAAAAUUACGCUGGAGUGAUAGAAUGUAUUUUCAUGAUAGAAAUUGGGAAAAAAAAUGGGGAAUGAAGUUUAUCAGCAUUUCAGACUUGUUUUUUUUUUUUUUUUUUGCAAGACUUUGAUGAGAUUGUUCACUUUUGUCUAUGUAAAAUCCCAAAUCCUUGAGAAUAAAAAAGGGGGAGGUUUAAGUCACUUGUUGCAAUGCCCUUUUUAAUAGAGGCAAUAAAUCUAAAGGCCAUAAAUUUAGAGUGACUUACAGAAGAUCGAACUUUGGAGUGUGGCAGAGUAAGGGAUGGAAACCGGGCCCUCCAGUUCACUAUCAGUAGCUUUUGCACUGGUCUGCCCUUCCUAAAUUAAGUAUGCACUUCAAUUUGAUGAGUGGAAACAGUCUAUCUGGGCAGUAACCAGGGAGCUUUGUGCCUAGUAGAUUGCUUCUGUUCUGCACUUCUUUGGUUUCCCACCUCAAUGUAAAAAAUAGCUAGCAAUGAAGUCCAGAAGUUGUCAAUGGUUCAUCCCCAGAAGAAUGCAUAAUGUCCAAAGUUGUAUGUGUAUGAUGUCUUCAAUGGUAUUAAGUUAUUUCAAAUUCUUAGUUCACCUACAUAAAUCAUUUCUAACAAGCAUCUUCUUAACCAACUUUAUGCACAGUGUAUGUUUGUAAGUGCUUCUGCACGAAUGUUUAUACAUGACUGUUUCCAUAGUACUUAUGUUUUUAAAAAUAUUCAGUCAUUUCCUACUAUAAUCCUCAUGUAUCCAUGUAACUGACUCAAAAAUACUUCAGCCACAGAAAGCUAAAACUGAGCAAAUCUCAUUCUUCUUUUCCAUCCCCUUUGCAUGUGGCUGGCAUUUAGUAAUGAUUAAUAAUAUGGCCAGCUGAAUAACAGAGGUUUGAGACACAAUUCUUUCUCAAAGGAGUCAGCUAAGCUGGGUCUACUUAUGGACAAACAUCUAAAUGUGUGGAAGUAUCUGAUAUUUGACAAUGGUAAAUUUCCACUUAGCUAGCUAGCAUUGUCAGACUUCAAUCUCCUCAUGGCUCUGGCCGUCCUGUUUUAAGCAUGAUAAUUGUUGGCCACAUCUCACAUAGUUCUCAUUGAGUGAGUUCAUAAAUAAACAGGGUUUUUUUUUUUUUUUAAAGAGCAGCCAAGCACAAAGUGUGACUUUGUUGACAUUUUAUGUGACUUUGUCAUAUGUUCCUAACCCCCAAUAAAAGCAAUGUUGCAUCA
Molecule: long non-coding RNA, 3336 nt
Filed under: Homo sapiens (human)
Lineage: Eukaryota; Metazoa; Chordata; Mammalia; Primates; Hominidae
Description: HSALNT0365450
Source: RNAcentral